UUUUUCAAAUUCCCGACUCCCGCCCAGGGGUUUCAUCCCCUCCCCCCACCUCCCGUCGCUUCGCCUCUCACAGAAAUGUCUUCCCGCUACGAUUGGUCAGUUCUGGUUGGCUGAUGUUUUAUAUGGAGUAGAGACUGAAGAAGGAUACCUGCAUGUAUGAUGAACACUUUCAAGACCUUUAUAUAAAUAGGUCAUGUGUCCAAAUUCUGAGUAGGAUGGUGCUAUCAAAACACUUUCAGAAGUGCAAAAAAUAUUCAGAAGAAAAUAAUCUCCACUCAACUGAUAAAUGAUUACUGCUCUACAUUGAACGUCAUUUGGAGGAAACUCCAAGGGAAGCAAAGGCACAGAAUGUACUCUGAGCAGGAGACUUCAAUGAGCUAGCCAAGGCCUUUGUUACAAUGGGGUCAACACUUCCAUUUUUUUCUAAUUUCAAUGGAAAAGUCAAAAUGAGUUAAAAAAAAUGGUAUUUCACUCUUGUUUUCUUUCUUGGUAUAAUUAGCUAAGUCAGGAUUUUUUUCUCAAUUGAACUCAUUUGUAGUAAUUCAAAGCUGUUUGGUGCUCUACAAAGAUACCAUAAAGAGCAUCUAGAAUUUGCAAUCUGGUUUCCAUUUUAAGAGAAUCACAAACAGAAACGAAAUAGAUUCAAAAUCUCAUUAUAUGACAUUAUUAAAAUAGAACUACUGUAUCUCACAAUUAAUCCCAUGUAGAAAUGGUAGAAUGAUGGAUUCACAACAGAUCUGACUUUGAGCUGUAGAAAUUCCUGGAAGAAUUUUGUACCAUUUUGCUUCGACUUAAGGAUAAACUAAUGUUAGUCUAUAAAAAGAAAAGGAGUAUUAAAAUGAGAAAUGUAUAUACAUAGGUAAGUAGAGUAACAUCUACUGGUUUUUAUUGUGCACGACUUCAAAGGAUGAUGGAAUUGGAGAUCUUACUGCCAGUAAUACAUACUUCAAUCCCAGGCCAUUCCAAGUCCCACCCGUCAAUUCUAGAGUUACUUUCAUUAGUGACUCUGCUGUAGAUCAUUAUCACACAGGAUUGGUUGAUAUUUUGAUUCUACCGGAGCUGGCACCUGUUGCCUCUCAUCAGUCCCAGACUGAGACAGAGAAGACGAGAGGGGUAGCCAGAGACCUCAGCACUGCACAAAAUCAGGACUUUUAUACACAACAGCUUUACUUCUGACAGUAUGUGAGUCGCUUUCGAUGAUAUAUGUAUUUUCAUUUGGUUUAUUAAUUAUUAGUUAAUAAGAUUUUUACUCUUUUUUUUUAUUUUUAUUGCCCCUGGGUUCUGUUACUAUUUCUGGAAGUGUUGCGAUGUAAAACUGGAGUCUGCAGAUCCAGCAAAUUAAUGCUGAGUUAAAACAAAUUUGUCAAAAUGAGCAAGGAAAUUAAAGUAAAGCAAAUUAGGUA
This is a long non-coding RNA of Carcharodon carcharias (great white shark), 1403 nucleotides long. RefSeq lists it as uncharacterized. The record is from RefSeq and is a predicted model, not a curated record. Lineage: Eukaryota; Metazoa; Chordata; Chondrichthyes; Lamniformes; Lamnidae. The transcript is spliced from 2 exons.